Molecule: non-coding RNA, 2415 nt
Organism: Pelobates cultripes (western spadefoot toad)
Lineage: Eukaryota; Metazoa; Chordata; Amphibia; Anura; Pelobatidae
Source: the annotation of a GenBank genome assembly
UUAAAAAAUUCUAUUUUUUCCUUCCCAUCAAAUAUAUGUUUUGCUCAUCUUUCAGUGUUUAAAUCUAUAAGAAAACUACAUAAAACUACAUUUAGCAUCAUAUGUUUAUAUCCUUUAAGGAAUUGUAAUAUUUUUAUCACACAUGAUAAACACAAAAUUAUGGACUUUUACAUACAAAAUUAUAAUUUUUUUUUUUAUGGGGAAUAAGAGGUCAUCCCUCCCUCCUAAAAAAAUAGUCAAACUAUGUAUUUCAAUCCUAAAACAAUUUUUUUUAAGUCAUGAUAAGUCUUGAUAAUUUUCCUCCAAUUGAUUAUCUCUAGAAAGGUAUUUAUACACCUGCACUCAUCCUAUCAAUGGCAUCAGAACUUGGACCGAUUUGGAUGGCUAAUGCAAAAUAAAUAAUUUUGUGAUAAAUUUGAAGUGUUAGUGACAAGACUUUGGUCACAAGAGAACCUCCAGUUUGUGUCAAACCAAUUCCAUGUGGUUUUAGAAAAUAAUACGUAAAAUCCGACUAUUCAGCAACCAAUAUGAUGACAUGUGAUGAUAUGAAAAGGAGAGCAAGGCUUAGUAUGCAAAGUCCUUUGCACCAUAACCACUAUAAUACGCUAUAGUGAUUGUAAUAUUUAGUGUACCCCAUAACUUGCUAAACAUUUUGAUUUAUGUACCAUUAAAAAUGUAUAAAUUAUCACAUGUAGUACAUAACAUACAGUAUAUCCAGGCUCUACUCUAUUUUUACUUUUUGCAUAUGCUCUUUUUUUGUGAUACUCUCAGAUUGCACAUCAAUAACAAAAUAGUUAUUCAUAACUGUGUUCAUUUCAAUUUACAAAUGGUUGUGUGUUUUGUUAAGGGACACAUGAAAUCAUGAUUAGUUAUACAGGACUUUUACAGGACAGAGUUCUAAAAGAUAAACAAAAAGUUAAACAUUUUUACGGGUUUCCAUGGUAAUUUUAGAAAUUGCCCCAAUAUGUUAAAAGUUAGAUGUAGUUAGUAUUAGAGUGAAUAUUUAUAUAAUUCAAUGACAGAGAGAUGUAUGACCCUUUCCACCAUGAUUAAUUGGCUAACCAUUUGGUAUGUGAAAUGUCAAUAAUUAGUUAAUGACGAUAUUUGCAAAAUUUGCUUUUUUAACUGCAUAAAUAUGGACGCAUUUAUUCCUAGUUGUCUUCUUAUUUUUCAAAUUUGAGUUCGCUCAAUAUAAAAGUAAAAUUUAUUGACUUUUUUUGUCACUUCGCUUGUUUAACACAGAAAUGUUGAUGGUUUAAAAACAAAGGAUUACAUCUACAUCUGUAUCUUUGUCUUUUCUAAGUAGUCUUUAUUGACAUUUCAUUACAAUUGUAAAAUGUAAUGAGGUUAUGGAAAAACAAAAAGGAAUGUCUCACAUUUACUUGUUUUUAUAAAUGUGAUUUUUUUUUUAAAGAGAAUUUCAUUUUUUAUUUUUUUAAAAACUUUAUAUUUUUGUUUUGUUGUCUUGAAUGCUAUACUAAACAAGCAUUGAAAUGAGGGAACUCGGAGGGUAACAAUUUUCUCUUUAAUAGGCUAUUACCUUGAAGCUUAGCAGGCAGUUCUGGAAAGAACUGUCCCCUAUUUGGAACUGGUAAAUUCUGUAGUAUCAAGUGCUCAACAUUUUGAAGCUCUUUAAAUCCAGAAUCAUCUUUUUUUGUUUGUUUUUGAGAUUUCUUUCAAAACUCUUUUUAUUUUUUCUUCUUAUAUUUUCAAAAUAAGCAAUUGACGAUAUAAUUACAGUUGUAUUGGCUGAACUGUUAGAUAUUGUUAAGAAUUACAAUCUUGCUUUGUAAAAUUCACUCUCUAAAGACGUUUUUACAACCCAUUUUAUCUAAUUAAACAUUGAAACGGAUCACUAUAAAUUUAAUUGAACAGGACCAAAAUUGUUGUCAUAAAUACAGCUUCAAUUAUAUUUAAGAAAUUGCUUAUUUAAUGUUGAAAAAUAAAUGUUCUGUUUAUAAUUACGUUUUGAAUUAUGAAUCCAAAUUUUACAGAGACUAAGCUUGGGACUUAUAAACCUUUUUACAAAUCUGUCAAUGUGUUUCUAAAUAAAAAAUAAAAAAGCAAUGACAUUUAAGAAAAUGUAAUUCCGAGAGGGCCUGCUUAAUUUAUUCAAGUGUACCGUUUGGUCAAUGAGCUACUUCAGAUACUUUGACCUAUGGAACUAAAAGGGAUAAAAGCCUUCUUACAGCCAAGAUUUAGAUUUUAUGAUGUUGAAAAAAUAAAAUUUUGAUGCCAUAAUUGUCUCAAAAUAAACAUUUUGAAAGAUGUGGUUUAUAGGGGUUGUUUAAUUAUGUAAUAUGGCCCAAAUGGCAAUAUGUUCUCCACUCCUGGGGCUUUCGUAGAACAGUGGAUGUUAGGUUUAAAUUUCUGUUUUCUUUGAUGAAGCUUUCAAUAAAAAAAAUUAACAUAAAA